AUUGAACGCUGGCGGCAUGCUUUACACAUGCAAGUCGAACGGCAGCGCGGGCUUCGGCCUGGCGGCGAGUGGCGAACGGGUGAGUAAUACAUCGGAACGUGCCCAGUAGUGGGGGAUAGCUCGGCGAAAGCCGGAUUAAUACCGCAUACGACCUGAGGGUGAAAGCGGGGGAUCUUCGGACCUUGCGCUAUUGGAGCGGCCGAUGGCGGAUUAGCUAGUUGGUGGGGUAAAGGCCUACCAAGGCGACGAUCUGUAGCUGGUCUGAGAGGACGACCAGCCACACUGGAACUGAGACACGGCCCAGACUCCUACGGGAGGCAGCAGUGGGGAAUUUUGGACAAUGGGCGAAAGCCUGAUCCAGCAAUGCCGCGUGUGUGAUGAAGGCCUUCGGGUUGUAAAGCACUUUUGGCGGGAACGAAAAGGACUGUGCCAAUACCACGGUUUGAUGACGGUACCCGAAGAAUAAGCACCGGCUAACUACGUG
Molecule: ribosomal RNA, 484 nt
Filed under: uncultured bacterium
Lineage: Bacteria
Description: partial 16S ribosomal RNA
Rfam family: Bacterial small subunit ribosomal RNA
Source: RNAcentral